AGAGUUUGAUCCUGGCUCAGGACGAACGCUGGCGGCGUGCCUAACACAUGCAAGUCGAACGGAGUUAAGCCCUUCGGGACUUAACUUAGUGGCGAACGGGUGAGUAACGCGUGGGGAACCUGCCUUAUACCGGGGGAUAACAGCUGGAAACGGCUACUAAUACCGCAUAAGCGCACGGCACCGCAUGGUGCAGUGUGAAAAACUCCGGUGGUAUAAGAUGGACCCGCGUUAGAUUAGCUUGUUGGCGGGGUAACGGCCCACCAAGGCGACGAUCUAUAGCCGGCCUGAGAGGGCGACCGGCCACAUUGGGACUGAGACACGGCCCAAACUCCUACGGGAGGCAGCAGUGGGGAAUAUUGCACAAUGGGGGAAACCCUGAUGCAGCGACGCCGCGUGAGCGAAGAAGUAUUUCGGUAUGUAAAGCUCUAUCAGCAGGGAAGAAAAUGACGGUACCUGACUAAGAAGCCCCGGCUAACUACGUGCCAGCAGCCGCGGUAAUACGUAGGGGGCAAGCGUUAUCCGGAUUUACUGGGUGUAAAGGGAGCGCAGGCGGUCUUGCAAGUCUGAUGUGAAAGCCCGGGGCUCAACCCCGGGACUGCAUUGGAAACUGUGAGACUUGAGUGUCGGAGGGGCAAGUGGAAUUCCUAGUGUAGCGGUGAAAUGCGUAGAUAUUAGGAGGAACACCAGUGGCGAAGGCGGCUUGCUGGACGACAACUGACGCUGAGGCGCGAAAGCGUGGGGAGCAAACAGGAUUAGAUACCCUGGUAGUCCACGCUGUAAACGAUGAAUACUAGGUGUGGGAGGACUGACCCCUUCCGUGCCGCAGUUAACACAAUAAGUAUUCCACCUGGGGAGUACGACCGCAAGGUUGAAACUCAAAGGAAUUGACGGGGGCCCGCACAAGCAGUGGAUUAUGUGGUUUAAUUCGGCGCAACGCGAAGAACCUUACCAGGACUUGACAUCCAACUAACGAGGCAGAGAUGCGUUAGGUGCCCUUCGGGGAAAGUUGAGACAGGUGGUGCUUGGUUGUCGUCAGCUCGUGUCGUGAGAUGUUGGGUUAAGUCCCGCAACGAGCGCAACCCCUAUUGUUAGUUGCUACGAAAGAGCACUCUAGCGAGACUGCCGUUGACAAAACGGAGGAAGGCGGGGACGACGUCAAAUCAUCAUGCCCCUUAUGUCCUGGGCUACACACGUAAUACAAUGGUGGCGAACAGAGGGAAGCAAAGGAGCGAUCUGGAGCAAAACCCUAAAAGCCACCUCAGUUCGGAUUGCAGGCUGCAACUCGCCUGCAUGAAGCUGGAAUUGCUAGUAAUCGCGGAUCAGAAAGCCGCGGUGAAUACGUUCCCGGGCCUUGCACACACCGCCGGUCA
This 1370-nucleotide ribosomal RNA is filed under the name uncultured bacterium. RNAcentral describes it as "16S ribosomal RNA". It matches the Rfam family "Bacterial small subunit ribosomal RNA". The record is from RNAcentral.